GACGAAGGUGGCAAGCGUUGUUCGGUAUCACUGGGCUUAAAGCGUGUGUAGGCGGAAGCGUAAGCGUUUUGUGAAAUCCCUCGGCUUAACCGAGGAAUUGCUUGACGAACUGCGUUUCUUGAGGCAGGUAGGGGUGCGCAGAACUCUUGGUGGAGCGGUGGAAUGCGUAGAUAUCAAGAGGAAUGCCGGUGGAGAAGUCGGUGCACUGGGCCUGACCUGACGCUGAGACACGAAAGCGUGGGGAGCGAACGGGAUUAGAUACCCCGGUAGUCCACGCCGUAAACGAUGUCUACUAGGUUGUGGCGGUUCUGACGCCGGCACAGCCGAAGCUAAAGUGUUAAGUAGACCGCCUGGGGAGUACGGUCGCAAGGCUAAA
This 376-nucleotide ribosomal RNA is filed under the name uncultured bacterium. RNAcentral's name for it is "bacterial SSU rRNA". It matches the Rfam family "Bacterial small subunit ribosomal RNA", at positions 524 to 898 of the family's 1533-position model. The record is from RNAcentral.